GGAGAGGUGGGUGAGUGGCUGAAACCAGCAGUUUGCUAAACUGUCGUACUGGGAAACUGGUACCGGGGGUUCGAAUCCCCCCCUCUCCGCCA
This 92-nucleotide transfer RNA is filed under the name Cyclobacteriaceae bacterium. RNAcentral describes it as "tRNA-Ser". It matches the Rfam family "tRNA". Rfam says of the family: Transfer RNA (tRNA) molecules are approximately 80 nucleotides in length. Lineage: Bacteria; Pseudomonadati; Bacteroidota; Cytophagia; Cytophagales; Cyclobacteriaceae. The record is from RNAcentral.